This 253-nucleotide ribosomal RNA is filed under the name uncultured bacterium. Its description in RNAcentral is "partial 16S ribosomal RNA". It matches the Rfam family "Bacterial small subunit ribosomal RNA", at positions 524 to 776 of the family's 1533-position model. The record is from RNAcentral.
UACAGAGGGUGCAAGCGUUGUUCGGAAUUAUUGGGCGUAAAGCGCGUGUAGGCGGCUUUGCAAGUCGGGUGUGAAAGCCCUCAGCUUAACUGAGGAAGUGCGCCCGAAACUGCAGAGCUUGAGUACCGGAGAGGAUGGCGGAAUUCCCCAAGUAGAGGUGAAAUUCGUAGAUAUGGGGAGGAACACCGGUGGCGAAGGCGGCCAUCUGGACGGAUACUGACGCUGAGAUGCGAAAGCGUGGGUAGCAAACAGG